This 106-nucleotide small nuclear RNA is filed under the name Nicotiana sylvestris (wood tobacco). The record is from RNAcentral. Lineage: Eukaryota; Viridiplantae; Streptophyta; Magnoliopsida; Solanales; Solanaceae. RNAcentral also lists the same sequence under 1 other name.
GUCCCUUCAGAGACAUCCGAUAAAAUUGGAACGACACAGAGAAGAUUAGCAUGAUGGCCCCUGCACAAGGAUGACACAUGCAAAUCGAGAUAUGGUCCUGAUUUUU